RNAcentral lists this long non-coding RNA (481 nucleotides) under Salmo salar (Atlantic salmon). RNAcentral describes it as "lncRNA (ENSSSAG00000086973.1)". The record is from RNAcentral. Lineage: Eukaryota; Metazoa; Chordata; Actinopteri; Salmoniformes; Salmonidae.
CCUUGAUAAGUUCCUUUCCUGAGGAUGGCUCACCUCUCACAGUUCUGGACCAUUUCCGGAGACCUUCUCCCCUACCUCACCUCGCUCAUCAACGCAUCCUUGACCGCUGGCUACGUCCCUUCCGUCUUCAAGAGAGCGAGAGUUGCACCCCUUCUGAAAAAACCUACACUCGAUCCCUCCGAUGUCAACAACUACAGACCUAUCUGCUGCCUUUGAUACCGUGAACCAUCAGAUCCUCCUCUCCACCCUCUCCGAGCUGGGCAUCUCCGGCACCGCGCACGCUUGGAUUGCGUCCUACCUGACAGGUCGCUCCUACCAGGUGGCGAAUCGCAUCUCUGCAUGUCUGGCAGACAUAUCAGUGUGGAUGACGGAUCACCACCUCAAGCUGAACCUCGGCAAGACGGAGCUGCUCUUCCUCCCGGGGAAGGACUGCCCGUUCCAUGAUCUCGCCAUCACGGUUGACAACUCCCUUGUGUCCUCC